GUUGUUUGAAAACUCAGUCUUAAAAACCAUCCAAAUGGUAUGGAGAAUUCAUAGAUAAAUCAGGUAAAGGACUAUAAGGUGUAGCCUACAAUUAUAAAGAAGAAAAUAAGAUUUUUAUUGCAGUUACUCCAGGCUGAUGUGGGUCUAUCCUAUCAGCCACAGCACACAACAGAACAAAUUAGCCUGAGACUUGUCAGGCUCUCUUCAGUUUUCUGUUUGGCUCUCAGAAACUGUAAGAUAAUCAUCCACCUUGGUUAGUGCCUCUCUGAACCUGCCCUUCAAACGUGCUACUCUUUCUCCACCAUUCAUUAUUUCCUUGUAAAUCUCAAGUAGCCAUCUCGUUCGUUACCCUUUAGCUUAUUUAAUCAUUCUAUAAUACAUACGGCCAACUGCUAAACUUAACAGUGGAAGAUCAACUGGGGAAGGAGCAGUGGAGAGAGAAAUUCAUUCCCUUUAUUGUCAUAAAGUUGGAAAAUUAUGACCACAUGCAUGGACUGAGCCAAAAGAGCAGAAAAUUCCCUUUGUCUCCUUAUUAUUCACCCAUUGUGCUGUUUUAAGUUCCUUUAGUGGCCAAAGGGUGACAGAAGCAAUAUGUCAGGUUUUUGCUGUAAAAUGUUAUCUAAAGGCAAGAAGUAGACCUGUAGGACAGAUAGAAUUCUCCACCGAGCCAUGGGAUUUCUGAUAAAAUUCUAUAACCAAAUAAAAAAUAUCUGUGACAA
Molecule: long non-coding RNA, 719 nt
Filed under: Bos taurus (domestic cattle)
Lineage: Eukaryota; Metazoa; Chordata; Mammalia; Artiodactyla; Bovidae
Description: long non-coding RNA NONBTAT019331
Source: RNAcentral